GGCGUCGACCGGCGCACGGGUGAGUAACGCGUAUCCAACCUGCCCACCACUUGGGGAUAACCUUGCGAAAGUAAGACUAAUACCCAAUGAUAUCUCUAGAAGACAUCUGAAGGAGAUUAAAGAUUUAUCGGUGAUGGAUGGGGAUGCGUCUGAUUAGCUUGUUGGCGGGGUAACGGCCCACCAAGGCAACGAUCAGUAGGGGUUCUGAGAGGAAGGUCCCCCACAUUGGAACUGAGACACGGUCCAAACUCCUACGGGAGGCAGCAGUGAGGAAUAUUGGUCAAUGGACGAGAGUCUGAACCAGCCAAGUAGCGUGCAGGAUGACGGCCCUAUGGGUUGUAAACUGCUUUUAUAAGGGAAUAAAGUGAGUCUCGUGAGAUUUUUUGCAUGUACCUUAUGAAUAAGGACCGGCUAAUUCCGUGCCAGCAGCCGCGGUAAUACGGAAGGUCCGGGCGUUAUCCGGAUUUAUUGGGUUUAAAGGGAGCGUAGGCCGGAGAUUAAGCGUGUUGUGAAAUGUAGAUGCUCAACAUCUGCACUGCAGCGCGAACUGGUUUCCUUGAGUACGCACAAAGUGGGCGGAAUUCGUGGUGUAGCGGUGAAAUGCUUAGAUAUCACGAAGAACUCCGAUUGCGAAGGCA
Molecule: ribosomal RNA, 638 nt
Filed under: uncultured bacterium
Lineage: Bacteria
Description: bacterial SSU rRNA
Rfam family: Bacterial small subunit ribosomal RNA
Source: RNAcentral